Molecule: long non-coding RNA, 801 nt
Organism: Pieris brassicae (large cabbage white)
Lineage: Eukaryota; Metazoa; Arthropoda; Insecta; Lepidoptera; Pieridae
Exons: 2
Source: RefSeq, a predicted model, not a curated record
UAAAAUUACAUACAGUUUCUAUAUCAGUUUAAAAAGUAAACAUGAAGCACUACGUCGUAUUUCUUUUACUAAUUAUCAGUGUUCAAUGUAUGCCCAAUCCACGGAUAGCAAGGCAGGUUGAUGAUUAUGAUGAUGGCUUGGCAUUUAAUAACAACGGUAAAGGUGAUGAUCAUGAGUUCAUUGCUAACUCUUCUAGUUGUGCCGCAGGGAUGACUAGAGCGCCGUGGGGAACUUGCAUAGCAUGUUACGAAUACCAGCAAAAAUUUGGGCAUAGAGGAGAGAACUGCUAAGGAAAACUAUAAAAAUGUUAGAUAAGUCAGUUAAAGAAUUAAAACUAUCUUCCUUGCUUUCUUUUAAAUAACAUAACAGUCGAAGAUCUGAAUUAUGAAAUAAUAAUAAACCUGUUAAAUUAAAUAGAAUUAAAAAUAAUAAUAGAUAAGAUAGCAUAACCUCUUAAAAUAAAAUCUAGUUCCGGGAUCAUAACAUUUCUUAUGACAUUUGGCAAAUAAUAAAUUAUACUAUUAGCAGACUUUAUAUAUGAUAUGAUGCAGCUGUGAUACUUUUACUUCCAUGAAGAGUUUGUCAAUGAAUUCGAAGAUGGGAUUGAUUUGGUGAAACGGUUCAGGUUGGACAGCACCUACCAAGAAUAUAUCAACACACACUUGUGUAAAUAUCAGCGCCAUGUCCCAUUUGUCAUGUCAUCCCGUUACCAGGGUUCUACUCGAAUAAAGAACCUGUAAUUAUUAACACCAGACGAUUAAUAAAAUGACACCGUGAGUAAUUAUAAAAUGAUAAUAAUAA